GGAAGGGGCUGUGGCUCAGUGGCAGAGCGUCUGGUUGGCAUGCGGAAAGCCCCGGGUUCAAUCCCUGGCCUCUCCG
Molecule: transfer RNA, 76 nt
Filed under: Sphaerodactylus townsendi
Lineage: Eukaryota; Metazoa; Chordata; Lepidosauria; Squamata; Sphaerodactylidae
Description: tRNA-Ala
Rfam family: tRNA
About the family: Transfer RNA (tRNA) molecules are approximately 80 nucleotides in length. Their secondary structure includes four short double-helical elements and three loops (D, anti-codon, and T loops). Further hydrogen bonds mediate the characteristic L-shaped molecular structure. tRNAs have two regions of fundamental functional importance: the anti-codon, which is responsible for specific mRNA codon recognition, and the 3' end, to which the tRNAs corresponding amino acid is attached (by aminoacyl-tRNA synthetases). tRNAs cope with the degeneracy of the genetic code in two manners: having more than one tRNA (with a specific anti-codon) for a particular amino acid; and 'wobble' base-pairing, i.e. permitting non-standard base-pairing at the 3rd anti-codon position.
Source: RNAcentral